AAGAAAGUGGCAGAGUGGUUAUGGUGGUUGGCUUGAAACCAAUUUAUGGAGGUUCAAUUCCUUCCUUUCUCG
RNAcentral lists this transfer RNA (72 nucleotides) under Amphilophus citrinellus (Midas cichlid). RNAcentral's name for it is "tRNA-Ser". It matches the Rfam family "tRNA". Rfam says of the family: Transfer RNA (tRNA) molecules are approximately 80 nucleotides in length. Their secondary structure includes four short double-helical elements and three loops (D, anti-codon, and T loops). The record is from RNAcentral. Lineage: Eukaryota; Metazoa; Chordata; Actinopteri; Cichliformes; Cichlidae.